RNAcentral lists this ribosomal RNA (621 nucleotides) under Triticum aestivum (bread wheat). RNAcentral describes it as "partial small subunit ribosomal RNA". The record is from RNAcentral. Lineage: Eukaryota; Viridiplantae; Streptophyta; Magnoliopsida; Poales; Poaceae.
AAGAAUGCCUCCCAGGAGACGGUCAAUGACUUCCGCCCAAUCACUUUGCUCAAUUGUUGCCUUAAGCUGAUCACCAAACUACUGGCCAAUCGUCUCCAAAAAAUCAUCUUGCAGAUAGUCCACCGUAAUCAGUACGGGUUCUUGCGUGGACGAUCCAUACAUGACUGCUUAGCGUGGGCCUUCGAGUAUAUUCACCAGUGUCAAGCCUCGCAAAAUGAGAUUAUCCUACUGAAACUUGAUUUUGCCAAAGCCUUUGACACUAUUCAACACUCGGCUAUGCUCCACAUUAUGAAAAAAGUGGGUCUCAAUGACAAAUGGCUCCACUGGAUGCAAAGUAUCUUCAAUUCUGGCAAAUCCUCAGUCAUUCUAAAUGGUACUCCAGGAAGUUCUUUCCUAUGCAAGUGCGGUGUGCGACAAGGUGACCCCCUCUCGCCUCUGAUAUUUGUUAUAGCUGCGGAUCUCCUUCAAUCUGCAAUCAACGAGGCUCUUCGGAAUAAUAUCCUGGACUUACCAAUCCAACGUGACACUAACGGGGAUUACCCAGUUAUCCAAUACGCGGAUGACACACUCAUCAUCCUGCCAGCUUGCACCCGACAACUCACCAAGAUUAAGGAAAUUCUG